Molecule: transfer RNA, 72 nt
Filed under: Danionella cerebrum
Lineage: Eukaryota; Metazoa; Chordata; Actinopteri; Cypriniformes; Danionidae
Description: tRNA-Glu
Source: RNAcentral
UCCCUGAUGGUCUAGUGGUCAGGAUUCGGCGCUCUCACCGCCACGGCCCGGGUUCCAUACCCGGUCAGGGAA